GAAAGAAUUAUGAUGUUGACAUGAGAGUACUUGGAAUGUUUUUAAAACACCACUCAGUUGCUAAAGGAAUACUGCCUAAGCACAUCAUGAAUGCUGAAGAUGAAGAAAAAUGUUUUAAAGUCUCUAGGUACGUGCUAUUGAUUGGUUUUAUGAGCUACUGCUUGAUGGGAGCAAAGGUAUUUCAAACUUUGGAGACAGACAUUCAGGAAAAGUUGAAGAAUUCCUUUCUGGAUGCCGAAACAGCUUUAAUGAAGAACUAUGUCAAUAUAACUCCAGAAGAACUUGAAAUCUUUUUGCAGAUGCUGGCUUUGUCUAUAAAACAUGGAAUAAUCCCCGUAAGAACUGGAGUUGUUUAUUUUAGUUGGAGUUUUAGGAACUCUUUCUCAUUUGUGGCAUCCACAUUAAGUACAAUAGGUGUGUUUUUUUUUAACACUCAUUGGCUGGGUGUGCAAGUUCUCCACUGGGUGCCCAUGAGCCAGUGAGACUAGAUUCAGCAUAGAGGACAAGAAAAAAACAGAAGAGGAAGAACAAUUUAUCAGUCACUAAUUCAGAGCCAACAAUGGCAUCCUGCAAAAGACCAUCCUAACCUUAUAACAUGUGGACAGGACUACAAGGGAAAAUGGGAAAUUGAACAUAAUUAACAGAGACAAGAUUCCAGAGUAGAAGAACUCAAGAUCACCUCCUCUCACAGAAACACCAAAAUUAGAACUAACUGUUGAACAACCAUCAACAAAAUAGACUUGAAGCUACCAAAAAAGAUAUCCUAUAUACAAAGACAAAGAAGAAGUCACAUCAAGACAGUAGGAGGGGUUAUUUCACGACAUAAGCAAUCCCAAAACUGCCAGGUGGGUGACCCACAGAUUGGAAAAUAACUAUAUUAUAGAGGCUCUCCCACAGGUGUGAGAGUUUGAGGCCCCAUGUCAGGUUCCCACACCUGGGGGUCUGGCAUUGGGAGGAGGAGCCCCUGGAACAUUUGGCAUUGAAGGCCAGUGAGGCUUGACUACAGGAGUUCCACAGGACUGGGGGGAACAGAGACUUCACUCUAGGAGGGCACACACAAGGUUUCAUGUGCACUGGGUCACAGGGCAAAGCAGGGACUCUAUAAGAAUCUGGAUCAAGCCCACUGAGAGGUCUUGGAGGGUCUCCUUGGAAUGUGGGGGUG
This 1162-nucleotide long non-coding RNA is filed under the name Sus scrofa (pig). RNAcentral describes it as "lncRNA (ENSSSCG00030000573.1)". The record is from RNAcentral. Lineage: Eukaryota; Metazoa; Chordata; Mammalia; Artiodactyla; Suidae.